Molecule: ribosomal RNA, 497 nt
Filed under: uncultured bacterium
Lineage: Bacteria
Description: partial 16S ribosomal RNA
Rfam family: Bacterial small subunit ribosomal RNA
Source: RNAcentral
GAUGAACGCUGGCGGCGUGCCUAAUACAUGCAAGUCGAGCGAACGGACGAGAAGCUUGCUUCUCUGAUGUUAGCGGCGGACGGGUGAGUAACACGUGGAUAACCUACCUAUAAGACUGGGAUAACUUCGGGAAACCGGAGCUAAUACCGGAUAAUAUUUUGAACCGCAUGGUUCAAAAGUGAAAGACGGUCUUGCUGUCACUUAUAGAUGGAUCCGCGCUGCAUUAGCUAGUUGGUAAGGUAACGGCUUACCAAGGCAACGAUGCAUAGCCGACCUGAGAGGGUGAUCGGCCACACUGGAACUGAGACACGGUCCAGACUCCUACGGGAGGCAGCAGUAGGGAAUCUUCCGCAAUGGGCGAAAGCCUGACGGAGCAACGCCGCGUGAGUGAUGAAGGUCUUCGGAUCGUAAAACUCUGUUAUUAGGGAAGAACAUAUGUGUAAGUAACUGUGCACAUCUUGACGGUACCCAAUCAGAAAUCCACGGCUAACUACGUG